This 253-nucleotide ribosomal RNA is filed under the name uncultured bacterium. Its description in RNAcentral is "partial 16S ribosomal RNA". It matches the Rfam family "Bacterial small subunit ribosomal RNA", at positions 524 to 776 of the family's 1533-position model. The record is from RNAcentral.
UACGGGGGGGGCAAGCGUUGUUCGGAAUUACUGGGCGUAAAGGGCUCGUAGGCGGCCAACUAAGUCAGACGUGAAAUCCCCAGGCUCAACCUGGGAACUGCGUCUGAUACUGGAUGGCUUGAAUCCGGGAGAGGGAUGCAGAAUUCCAGGUGUAGCGGUGAAAUGCGUAGAUAUCAGGAAGAACACCAAUGGCGAAGGCAGCUCUCUGGGACGGUACUGACGCUGAGACGCGAAAGCGUGGGGAGCGAACAGG